AAGCGAAACACGGGCAUGAGUGCCCGUGUCUGCUGGGUGUCGUGAUCCAGUACUGAUGAGCAGCGAGAA
This 69-nucleotide non-coding RNA is filed under the name Acinetobacter pittii. Lineage: Bacteria; Pseudomonadati; Pseudomonadota; Gammaproteobacteria; Moraxellales; Moraxellaceae. The record is from RNAcentral.